This 75-nucleotide transfer RNA is filed under the name Caudoviricetes sp. Its description in RNAcentral is "tRNA-Val". It matches the Rfam family "tRNA". Rfam says of the family: Transfer RNA (tRNA) molecules are approximately 80 nucleotides in length. The record is from RNAcentral. Lineage: Duplodnaviria; Heunggongvirae; Uroviricota; Caudoviricetes.
AGUUCCUUAGCUCAGUUGGUUUAGAGCAGCUCCCUUACAAGGAGAAGGUCAACAGUUCGACUCUGUUAGGAACUA